AUGAUUCAGAGGUUUGCAAAGCAAGAAGAGGGAGCCCCUAAGCUUCGGAUCACAGGUAUAGACAUUCCUCAGCCAGGUUUACGCCCCUGUGAAAUGAUCGAGGAGACAGGGAAGCGGUUGGCUGAUUAUGCAAACAUGUUCAAGGUACCUUUUCAGUAUCAGGGCAUUGCCGCUUCAAGAUGGGAGACCAUUAAAAUUGAGGAUCUUAACAUUGAGGAGGGUGAAGUCCUCAUCAUCAACUGCAUGCUCCGGAUGAAGAAUCUUGGUCAUGAAACCAUAGCCAUAAAUAGCACAAGGGACGAGGUAAUCAAAACUAUGAGGAGGAUGAACCCAAAGAUUUUUAUUUCUGGCACCGUGAAUGGGUUACGCAGUUCUCCCUUCUUCAUACAACGUUUCAAAGAGGUUAUGUUCCAUUACUCUUCAAUGUUUGACAUGCUUGAUGCAAAUAUUCCACGGGAUAAUGAAGCAAGAAAGACAAUUGAGAGGGUCCUAUUUGGGCGGGAUGCACUUAAGAGCAUAGCAUGUGAGGAUGCAGAAUGGACCAAGAGGCGGGAAAGUUACAGGCAGUGGCAAGCAAGGUUCCUCAAGGCUGGGUUCCAGCAGCUUCCUGUUGAUCCAGCCAUUUUAAAGAAAAUAGUACAAAAGAAGAACUCACUUUAUCAUGAGGAAUUCUUUGCUGUUGAAGAUUGCGGUUGGCUACUGCAAGGAUGGAAAGGGAGAGUAAUUUAUGCAAUAUCUAAAUGGAAACCUGAUGAAACAUACGAUGGUCAGUAA
RNAcentral lists this ribosomal RNA (774 nucleotides) under Triticum aestivum (bread wheat). RNAcentral's name for it is "partial small subunit ribosomal RNA". Lineage: Eukaryota; Viridiplantae; Streptophyta; Magnoliopsida; Poales; Poaceae. The record is from RNAcentral.